CGCAAAUUACCCACUCCCGGCACGGGGAGGUAGUGACAAAAAAUAACGAUACGGGACUCUAAUGAGGCCCCGUAAUCGGAAUGAGUACACUUUAAAUCCUUUAACAAGGAUCCAUUGGAGGGCAAGUCUGGUGCCAGCAGCCGCGGUAAUUCCAGCUCCAAUAGCGUAUAUUAAAGUUGUUGCGGUUAAAAAGCUCGUAGUUGGUUCUGCGUGCCGCGCUGUCGGUUCGCCGCCUGUCGGUGUAACUGGCAUGUCGCGGCAUGUCCUGUCGGUGGUGAACCGAAGAUGCCCGGUGCUAGCUUAGGCUAUUAGUCUUUGUUGUGUGCCGUGUGUGUUUUCGUUUGCCGAUCUCUCCUACUCCGGUGCUCUUAAACGAGUGUCGAGGUAGGCCGACACGUUCACUUUGAACAAAUUAGAGUGCUUAAAGCAGGCUGAAAUAUCUGCCUGAAUAGUGGUGCAUGGAAUGAUAAAAUAGGACCUCGGUUCUAUUUUGUUGGUUUUAGGAAUAUGAGGUAAUGAUCAAUGUGGACUGGCGGGGGCAUUCGUAUUGCGACGUUAGAGGUGAAAUUCUUGGAUCGUCGCAAGACGCACUAGAGCGAAAGCAUUUGCCAAGUAUGUCUUAAUUGAUCAAGAACGAAAGUUAGAGGUUCGAAGGCGAUCAGAUACCGCCCUAGUUCUAACCAUAAACGAUGCCGGCCAGCGAUCCGCCGAUGUUCCUUUAAUGACUCGGCGGGGAGCUUCUACUCGGGAAACCAAAGCUUUUGGGUUCCGGGGGAAGUAUGGUUGCAAAGCUGAAACUUAAAGGAAUUGACGGAAGGGCACCACCAGGAGUGGAGCCUGCGGCUUAAUUUGACUCAACACGGGAAACCUCACUAGGCCAGGACAUUGGAAGGAUUGACAGAUUGAUAGCUCUUUCUUGAUUCAG
RNAcentral lists this ribosomal RNA (925 nucleotides) under Dohrnemesa sp. Its description in RNAcentral is "SSU rRNA". It matches the Rfam family "Eukaryotic small subunit ribosomal RNA", at positions 435 to 1270 of the family's 1831-position model. Lineage: Eukaryota; Metazoa; Arthropoda; Insecta; Hemiptera; Reduviidae. The record is from RNAcentral.